This 697-nucleotide ribosomal RNA is filed under the name uncultured euryarchaeote. RNAcentral describes it as "bacterial SSU rRNA". It matches the Rfam family "Archaeal small subunit ribosomal RNA", at positions 73 to 769 of the family's 1478-position model. The record is from RNAcentral. Lineage: Archaea; Methanobacteriati; Methanobacteriota.
UACUCGUAGCAAAUAGCUCCGUAACACGUGGCCAAACUGCCCUACGGACUGGAAUAACCUCGGGAAACUGAGGCUAAUUCCUGAUACGGUUCCCAUGCUGGAAUGCCGGGAACCCGAAACGUUCCGACGCCGUAGGAUGUGGCUGCGGCCGAUUAGGUAGACGGUGGGGUAACGGCCCACCGUGCCGAUAAUCGGUACGGGUUGUGAGAGCAAGAACCCGGAGACGGAAUCUGAGACAAGAUUCCGGGCCCUACGGGGCGCAGCAGGCGCGAAACCUUUACACUGCACGCCAGUGCGAUAGGGGGACCCCGAGUGCGAGGGCAUACAGUCCUCGCUUUUCUAGACGGUAAGGCCGUCCAGGAACAAGAGCUGGGCAAGACCGGUGCCAGCCGCCGCGGUAAUACCGGCAGCUCGAGUGAUGACCGAUUUUAUUGGGCCUAAAGCGUCCGUAGCCGGCCGAGCAAGUCUGUCGGGAAAUCCACCAGCUCAACUGGUGGGCGUCCGGCGGAAACUGCUUGGCUUGGGACAGGAAGACCCGAGGGGUACGUCCGGGGUAGGAGUGAAAUCCUGUAAUCCUGGACGGACCGCCGAUGGCGAAAGCACCUCGGGAGGACUGAUCCGACGGUGAGGGACGAAAGCUGGGGUCUCGAACCGGAUUAGAUACCCGGGUAGUCCCAGCCGUAAACGAUGUCUGCUA